RNAcentral lists this ribosomal RNA (1100 nucleotides) under uncultured Campylobacterota bacterium. RNAcentral describes it as "bacterial SSU rRNA". It matches the Rfam family "Bacterial small subunit ribosomal RNA", at positions 28 to 1143 of the family's 1533-position model. The record is from RNAcentral. Lineage: Bacteria; Pseudomonadati; Campylobacterota.
AGUGAACGCUGGCGGCGUGCUUAACACAUGCAAGUCGAACGGAAACAAUUGGUACUUGUACCAAGGUGUCGAGUGGCGAACGGGUGAGUAAUGUAUAGUUAAUUUGCCUCUUGGAGAGGGAUAGCCACUGGAAACGGUGAUUAAUACCUCAUACUCCUUAUACAGUAAGUGUAUAAGGGAAAUGCUUUUGUGCCAAGAGAUAAGACUAUAUGGUAUCAGGUAGUUGGUGGGGUAAGAGCCUACCAAGCCAAUGACGCCUAGCUGGUCUGAGAGGAUGAUCAGCCACACUGGAACUGAGACACGGUCCAGACUCCUACGGGAGGCAGCAGUGGGGAAUAUUGCACAAUGGAGGAAACUCUGAUGCAGCAACGCCGCGUGGAGGAUGACGCAUUUCGGUGUGUAAACUCCUUUUAUAUGGGAAGAUAAUGACGGUACCAUAUGAAUAAGCACCGGCUAACUCCGUGCCAGCAGCCGCGGUAAUACGGAGGGUGCAAGCGUUACUCGGAAUCACUGGGCGUAAAGCGCAUGCAGGCGGUUAAAUAAGUUAGAAGUGAAAUCCUACAGCUCAACUGUAGAACUGCUUCUAAAACUGUUUAACUAGAGUCUGGGAGGGGAAGAUGGAAUUAGUAGUGUAGGGGUAAAAUCCGUAGAGAUUACUAGGAAUACCAAAAGCGAAGGCGAUCUUCUGGAACAGUACUGACGCUGAGAUGCGAAAGCGUGGGGAGCAAACAGGAUUAGAUACCCUGGUAGUCCACGCAGUAAACGAUGAAUGUUAGUCGUUGGUAUCCUAGAGAUAUCAGUGAUGCAGUUAACACAUUAAACAUUCCGCCUGGGGAGUACGGUCGCAAGAUUAAAACUCAAAGGAAUAGACGGGGACCCGCACAAGUGGUGGAGCAUGUGGUUUAAUUCGAAGAUACGCGAAGAACCUUACCUAGCCUUGACAUAUUUUAGAACACACCAGAGAUGGAGUGGUGCCUUCGGGAGCUAAUAUACAGGUGCUGCACGGCUGUCGUCAGCUCGUGUCGUGAGAUGUUGGGUUAAGUCCCGCAACGAGCGCAACCCUCGUCACUAGUUACUAACGAUUCGGUCGAGGACUCUAG